GCGCUUGUAGCUCAGCUGGAUAGAGCGUCCCCCUCCGGAGGGGAAGGCCGGGGGUUCGACUCCUCUCAAGCGCGCCA
Molecule: transfer RNA, 77 nt
Filed under: Thiomicrorhabdus sediminis
Lineage: Bacteria; Pseudomonadati; Pseudomonadota; Gammaproteobacteria; Thiotrichales; Piscirickettsiaceae
Description: Thiomicrorhabdus sp. G1 tRNA-Arg
Rfam family: tRNA
About the family: Transfer RNA (tRNA) molecules are approximately 80 nucleotides in length. Their secondary structure includes four short double-helical elements and three loops (D, anti-codon, and T loops).
Source: RNAcentral